UUAUACUAAUUUUACAGACAUAAUAAGUGAAAAUCAUAGUCAAAGUUGUUGCUGACCAGAAAAAGUCAACCGCUCGUUGCAAAAAAGAAAAAGAAAAAGUCAACCGCGCCAUACAUUUUGGGACGUCUCUUGUAUGACACAAGAGAUGGUAACUAAGGUGAGAAGAUAGGAGAUUGAAGGGACCAGAUAAAUAUGGGUGUUCUCCACAGAUGAGUGAAACUUAAUACUCUAGCGUGAAGUAUAGACUCCAGAAUGCAGAUGGAUCACAUAUAAAACUUCUUGCAAAACUUGAUCAUAGAACACAAUAUUCAAGAGUGCAGUAAAGUAUCCC
This 331-nucleotide long non-coding RNA is filed under the name Brachypodium distachyon (stiff brome). RNAcentral's name for it is "long non-coding RNA (BDIS_LNC000378)". The record is from RNAcentral. Lineage: Eukaryota; Viridiplantae; Streptophyta; Magnoliopsida; Poales; Poaceae.